CCUACGGGUGGCUGCAGUGGGGAAUAUUGCACACUGGGGGGAACCCUGAUGCAGCACUGCCGCGUGGGUGAAGAAGCACUCCGGUGCGUACAGCUCUGUCAACAGUGAAGAAAAUGACAGUACCUGGACCAGAAUCCCCGGCUAACUACGUGCCAGACGCCGCGGUAAUACGUAGGGGGCAAGCGUUAUCCUGAUUUACUGGUUGGAACGGGAGCGCAGGCGGCGUGGCAAGUCAGAUGUGAAAACCCGGGGCCCAACCCCGGGAGUGCAUUCGAAACUGCCAUGCUGGAGUGCCGGAGAGGGGAGCGGAAUUCCUAGUGUAGCGGUGAAAGGCGUAGAUAUUAGGAGGAACACCAGUGGCGGAGGCGGCUUACUGGACGGUAACUGACGCUGAGGCUCGAAAGCGUGGGGAGCAAACAGGAUUAGAUACCCCAGUAGUC
Molecule: ribosomal RNA, 440 nt
Filed under: uncultured bacterium
Lineage: Bacteria
Description: partial 16S ribosomal RNA
Rfam family: Bacterial small subunit ribosomal RNA
Source: RNAcentral